GAGGAUGCAGCUCAAUGGUGGAGCGCGUGCCUAGCAAGCAGGAGGUCCUGGGUUCAGUCCCCAGCACCGCCA
This 72-nucleotide transfer RNA is filed under the name Camelus bactrianus (Bactrian camel). It matches the Rfam family "tRNA". From Rfam's summary of the family: Transfer RNA (tRNA) molecules are approximately 80 nucleotides in length. Their secondary structure includes four short double-helical elements and three loops (D, anti-codon, and T loops). Further hydrogen bonds mediate the characteristic L-shaped molecular structure. tRNAs have two regions of fundamental functional importance: the anti-codon, which is responsible for specific mRNA codon recognition, and the 3' end, to which the tRNAs corresponding amino acid is attached (by aminoacyl-tRNA synthetases). tRNAs cope with the degeneracy of the genetic code in two manners: having more than one tRNA (with a specific anti-codon) for a particular amino acid; and 'wobble' base-pairing, i.e. permitting non-standard base-pairing at the 3rd anti-codon position. The record is from Rfam by way of RNAcentral. Lineage: Eukaryota; Metazoa; Chordata; Mammalia; Artiodactyla; Camelidae. RNAcentral also lists the same sequence under 2 other names.